This 82-nucleotide transfer RNA is filed under the name Malassezia sympodialis ATCC 42132. RNAcentral's name for it is "tRNA-Ser (AGA) (tRNA-Ser-AGA-1-1)". It matches the Rfam family "tRNA". Rfam says of the family: Transfer RNA (tRNA) molecules are approximately 80 nucleotides in length. Their secondary structure includes four short double-helical elements and three loops (D, anti-codon, and T loops). The record is from RNAcentral. Lineage: Eukaryota; Fungi; Basidiomycota; Malasseziomycetes; Malasseziales; Malasseziaceae.
GGCGAGGUGCCGGAGUGGUUAUCGGGAACGCCUAGAAAGCGUUUGGUCUCUGACCGCACAGGUUCGAAUCCUGUUCUCGUCG